UCAGCCACGGUUCAUCUGCAUAUUCAUGAGGCGAUUUGACAGAGUACUAGAAUAUGGCGACAGAUGUAACACUAACCGGACGAAAAGCGUGGUGGAAUUUAUCGUUUUUCUCAGCUUUUGUGGGACUGCUGAGCAGUCCUGUAUCAGGUAAGUCUUUUCUAAUUGAUGUUGACUAAUAUCCAUGUGACAUUUCAUAAGGAGCAUGCAUGCAUAUAUUAUUAAAUUAUGCUAAUUCCAUGUGUAAGUAAUUAUUGAUUUCAUCAUGAUAUUUUGUUCUGGUUAAAUUGCUCUUACAUGUAUUCUAUGUUCUGAUACAAUUUCUGUUAAUUUUGUUACACAAAAGUGCAUGGACAAUUCUACGAAUUAUUCGCUCUAUAAGUACUUUCCUCUAUUAAUGAUUAUUAAAAUCUGCAUCAAUUAAUAAAUACAAAUAAUAUGUCUCUCUCUAUAUAAGCACUUAGCUUUAAAUUUGGCAACAAUUUCAGCAUGUAAUUUUGACUGUAAAGCAAUUCAUAAAUCAAUUUCAGCAUGUAAUUUUGACUGUAAAGCAAUUCAUAAAUCAGUAGAAGUCUCCUGUAUGCACAUUGCAGAUGAAAAAACAUUCUUUUAAUUUUGUCUUUCUAAAAGUCUUGAAAACUGUUGUCAUGAGCAAAAUUUCAGUGCUAGUACAAUGAAAGCUGCCUUAGCGACCAUCUGUAUAGAAAGACCCCUUGUUUAUAAAAAACACAUUUUCUGUUUCUCAU
Molecule: long non-coding RNA, 743 nt
Organism: Strongylocentrotus purpuratus (purple sea urchin)
Lineage: Eukaryota; Metazoa; Echinodermata; Echinoidea; Camarodonta; Strongylocentrotidae
Exons: 2
Source: RefSeq, a predicted model, not a curated record